UACGUAAGGUCCGAGCGUUGUCCGGAAUUACUGGGUGUAAAGGGCGUGUAGGCGGCACUGUAAGUCAGAUGUGAAAUCUCCCGGCUCAACCGGGAGCGUGCAUCUGAUACUGCAGUACUUGAGUGAUAGAGGGGAAAGCGGAAUUCCUAGUGUAGCGGUAAAAUGCGUAGAUAUUAGGAGGAACACCAGUGGCGAAGGCGGCUUUCUGGCCAUAAACUGACGCUGAGGUACGAAAGCGUGGGUAGCAAACAGG
Molecule: ribosomal RNA, 253 nt
Filed under: uncultured bacterium
Lineage: Bacteria
Description: partial 16S ribosomal RNA
Rfam family: Bacterial small subunit ribosomal RNA
Source: RNAcentral